AUUGAACGCUGGCGGCAGGCCUAACACAUGCAAGUCGAGCGGAUGAAGGGAGCUUGCUCCUGGAUUCAGCGGCGGACGGGUGAGUAAUGCCUAGGAAUCUGCCUGGUAGUGGGGGAUAACGUCCGGAAACGGGCGCUAAUACCGCAUACGUCCUGAGGGAAAAAGUGGGGGAUCUUCGGACCUCACGCUAUCAGAUGAGCCUAGGUCGGAUUAGCUAGUUGGUGGGGUAAAGGCCUACCAAGGCGACGAUCCGUAACUGGUCUGAGAGGAUGAUCAGUCACACUGGAACUGAGACACGGUCCAGACUCCUACGGGAGGCAGCAGUAGGGAAUAUUGGACAAUGGGCGAAAGCCUGAUCCAGCCAUGCCGCGUGUGUGAAGAAGGUCUUCGGAUUGUAAAGCACUUUAAGUUGGGAGGAAGGGCAGUAAGUUAAUACCUUGCUGUUUUGACGUUACCAACAGAAUAAGCACCGGCUAACUUCGUG
This 484-nucleotide ribosomal RNA is filed under the name uncultured bacterium. Its description in RNAcentral is "partial 16S ribosomal RNA". It matches the Rfam family "Bacterial small subunit ribosomal RNA", at positions 30 to 507 of the family's 1533-position model. The record is from RNAcentral.